GAUGAACGCUGGCGGCGUGCCUAAUACAUGCAAGUCGAGCGAACAGACGAGGAGCUUGCUCCUCUGACAUUAGCGGCGGACGGGUGAGUAACACGUGGAUAACCUACCUAUAAGACUGGGAUAACUUCGGGAAACCGGAGCUAAUACCGGAUAAUAUAUUGAACCGCAUGGUUCAAUAGUGAAAGACGGUUUUGCUGUCACUUAUAGAUGGAUCCGCGCCGCAUUAGCUAGUUGGUAAGGUAACGGCUUACCAAGGCAACGAUGCGUAGCCGACCUGAGAGGGUGAUCGGCCACACUGGAACUGAGACACGGUCCAGACUCCUACGGGAGGCAGCAGUAGGGAAUCUUCCGCAAUGGGCGAAAGCUUGACGGAGCAACGCCGCGUGAGUGAUGAAGGUCUUCGGAUCGUAAAACUCUGUUAUUAGGGAAGAACAAAUGUGUAAGUAACUGUGCACGUCUUGACGGUACCUAAUCAGAAAGCCACGGCUAACUACGUG
This 497-nucleotide ribosomal RNA is filed under the name uncultured bacterium. Its description in RNAcentral is "partial 16S ribosomal RNA". It matches the Rfam family "Bacterial small subunit ribosomal RNA", at positions 28 to 507 of the family's 1533-position model. The record is from RNAcentral.